This 497-nucleotide ribosomal RNA is filed under the name uncultured bacterium. Its description in RNAcentral is "partial 16S ribosomal RNA". It matches the Rfam family "Bacterial small subunit ribosomal RNA", at positions 28 to 507 of the family's 1533-position model. The record is from RNAcentral.
GAUGAACGCUGGCGGCGUGCCUAAUACAUGCAAGUCGAGCGAACGGACGAGGAGCUUGCUUCUCUGACGUUAGCGGCGGACGGGUGAGUAACACGUGGAUAACCUACCUAUAAGACUGGGAUAACUUCGGGAAACCGGAGCUAAUACCGGAUAAUAUUUUGAACCGCAUGGUUCAAAAGUGAAAGACGGUUUUGCUGUCACUUAUAGAUGGAUCCGCGCCGCAUUAGCUAGUUGGUAAGGUAACGGCUUACCAAGGCAACGAUGCAUAGCCGACCUGAGAGGGUGAUCGGCCACACUGGAACUGAGACACGGUCCAGACUCCUACGGGAGGCAGCAGUAGGGAAUCUUCCGCAAUGGGCGAAAGCCUGACGGAGCAACGCCGCGUGAGUGAUGAAGGUCUUCGGAUCGUAAAACUCUGUUAUUAGGGAAGAACAAAUGUGUAAGUAACUGUGCACGUCUUGACGGUACCUAAUCAGAAAGCCACGGCUAACUACGUG